AGCUGAAAUCUGUAGGACAGUAGCUCUCCAGAAGCAGGGUUGGAGACCACUGUUCUAAAGUGAUACAAGCCUCGAUACGCGUUUCACUGAAAGCUGCCGGGAUUUCUCGACAGACGCUCCGAAGCCUCGGCACAGAACAUAACAUCACUAUUGAUAUUCCACAAUCCUGUGCGUUCCAUUCCGUGACAGUUAAGCUAAAGAGUAAAGCUGGCAUCUGAAAGUUGUGGUCAGUUUGUGUGUAAAUGUCAUUAAACCGUUACUCUGCCUCAGAAGUCUGUCCGAAAUCAGUUUCGUGAGGUGCCUUCGUGUACAAACGCUGCCUGCAAGUCAUUGCCUGCUAGGUCAGAGAGGCAACAAGUCAGCUGCCUAAGUUUUUGGAUGCAGACAUUGUCUAGUCUUGUCAAGGUUUACCCACACCUGAUUCCUUCCUAUUCGCCUGCAUUCUCAUGUCCUGACUUCUCGUCUUCAGCCUACCAACCUGCAAAGAGGAAAAGAAACGUUACUCACCUGCUUGGACUCUCACCUGUUACCCAUCUGUCUUCGCCGUCUGCCUCAUCCAUCAGAACUGUAAAGAGAUACAAGGAUCGGUUAUCAACCUGAGCUAAGUCCAGUCAUUCUCAAAGACUCUGAUUGCUCACCAGUUUGCUAUGCAUCUCUCCUCCGCACCAAGCUGUAAAUAAAGCGAU
This is a long non-coding RNA of Cyprinus carpio carpio, 686 nucleotides long. Lineage: Eukaryota; Metazoa; Chordata; Actinopteri; Cypriniformes; Cyprinidae. The record is from Ensembl.